This 1108-nucleotide ribosomal RNA is filed under the name uncultured bacterium. RNAcentral describes it as "bacterial SSU rRNA". It matches the Rfam family "Bacterial small subunit ribosomal RNA", at positions 353 to 1482 of the family's 1533-position model. The record is from RNAcentral.
AGUGGGGAAUAUUGCACAAUGGAGGAAACUCUGAUGCAGCAACGCCGCGUGGAGGAUGACGCAUUUCGGUGUGUAAACUCCUUUUAUAUCCCAAGAUAAUGACGGUAGGAUAUGAAUAAGCACCGGCUAACUCCGUGCCAGCAGCCGCGGUAAUACGGAGGGUGCAAGCGUUACUCGGAAUCACUGGGCGUAAAGGAUGCGUAGGCGGAUAAUCAAGUCAAAAGUGAAAUCCCACGGCUUAACCGUGGAACUGCUUUCGAAACUGGUUAUCUAGAAUAUGGAAGAGGCAGAUGGAAUUAGUGGUGUAGGGGUAAAAUCCGUAGAGAUCACUAGGAAUACCGAUUGCGAAGGCGAUCUGCUGGGACAUUAUUGACGCUGAGGCAUGAAAGCGUGGGGAGCAAACAGGAUUAGAUACCCUGGUAGUCCACGCCCUAAACGAUGCACACUAGUUGUUGCGAUGCUCGUCAUUGCAGUAAUACAGUUAACACAUUAAGUGUGCCGCCUGGGGAGUACGGUCGCAAGAUUAAAACUCAAAGGAAUAGACGGGGACCCGCACAAGCGGUGGAGCAUGUGGUUUAAUUCGAAGAUACGCGAAGAACCUUACCUAGACUUGAAAUCCUUGGAAUCUUUCAGAGAUGAGAGAGUGCUAGUUUACUAGAACCAAGUGACAGGUGCUGCACGGCUGUCGUCAGCUCGUGUCGUGAGAUGUUGGGUUAAGUCCCGCAACGAGCGCAACCCUCGUGAUUAGUUGCUAACAGUUCGGCUGAGCACUCUAAUCAGACUGCCUUCGUAAGGAGGAGGAAGGUGAGGACGACGUCAAGUCAUCAUGGCCCUUAUGUCUAGGGCUACACACGUGCUACAAUGGUUGGGACAAAGAGCAGCGAUACCGUGAGGUGGAGCAAAUCUUAAAACCCAAUCUCAGUUCGGAUUGGAGUCUGCAACUCGACUCCAUGAAGCUGGAAUCGCUAGUAAUCGUAGAUCAGCAAUGCUACGGUGAAUACGUUCCCGGGUCUUGUACUCACCGCCCGUCACACCAUGGGAGUUGAUUUCACUCGAAGCCGGAAUACUAAAUUAGUUACCGUCCACAGUGGAAUUAGCGACUGGGGUG